Molecule: ribosomal RNA, 484 nt
Filed under: uncultured bacterium
Lineage: Bacteria
Description: partial 16S ribosomal RNA
Rfam family: Bacterial small subunit ribosomal RNA
Source: RNAcentral
AUUGAACGCUAGCGGGAUGCUUUACACAUGCAAGUCGAACGGCAGCGCGGACUUCGGUCUGGCGGCGAGUGGCGAACGGGUGAGUAAUGUAUCGGAACGUGCCCAGUAGCGGGGGAUAACUACGCGAAAGCGUAGCUAAUACCGCAUACGCCCUACGGGGGAAAGCAGGGGAUCGUAAGACCUUGCACUAUUGGAGCGGCCGAUAUCGGUUUAGCUAGUUGGUGAGGUAACGGCUCACCAAGGCGACGGUCCGUAGCUGGUUUGAGAGGACGACCAGCCAGACUGGGACUGAGACAGGGCCCAGACUCCUGCGGGGGGCAGCAGUGGGGAAUCUUGGACGAUGGAGGAAAGCCUGAUACAGCCAACCCGCGGGUGCCAUGAAGGCCUUCGGGUUGUAAAGCACUGUUGGCAGUAAAGAAACAUAGCGGGCUAAUACCCGGUGGAACUGACGGUACCUGCAGAAUAAGCACCGGCUAACUACGUG